AUGAGAUUUGUUUCUACGGAUAUGAAGGAUAGAAAUCUGCUAUUUGCUGCUAUUACAACGAAUCAACCAAUUCGUAGUAAGUGUUCCUGUCUUCCCGAUCUACAUGAUUUUUUCCCAACCAACAUCUCUCAGAACUUUGCUAUAACGCCAAACUUGGAUAUAACGCCAACGCCUGAGCGAAUUGCCGGCGUCACAAUAGUUUUACAAAUAGAAGAGUAUUUGGGCCAAAAUGAGUCCGAACAGGGAGCAGUCAAUUUAGCUAGAACAGUAUUGGGAGCCCGCCACCGAAAUGGCGAAACUUGGCAGGGCAUAUUAGAGGAUAUUCGGGCGGGUGGUGGUAUGGAUAAUUUUAUCCAGAAUCUGCCUGGUGCCUACCCGGAAACCCCAUUGGAUCAAUUUGCCAUUAUCCCAAUAAUUGAUCUUCAUGUGGGCAACUUUUAUUUAUCAUUUACAAAUGAAGUCUUGUAUAUGCUGCUCACUGUCGUUUUGGUCGUUUUUCCUUUUUUUUGUUGUUACGAAAAAGGGAGGUGGAAAGUCAGUGCCAAAUGCAUGGCAAUCCUUGGUCGAGCUUAUUUAUGA
This 579-nucleotide ribosomal RNA is filed under the name Triticum aestivum (bread wheat). Its description in RNAcentral is "partial small subunit ribosomal RNA". The record is from RNAcentral. Lineage: Eukaryota; Viridiplantae; Streptophyta; Magnoliopsida; Poales; Poaceae.